UUUUCUUUUGUAAAGUCCUUAUCAAACAAUCUAAUUAACAUCAUCUGAAAUUUAUCUAAUUGACAUCUUUUAAAAUUUAUCUAACGAAAUUUCAAAUCCUAUCCUACAAAUGGAUUUGAUAAAUCACUAUAGCACCAAUAUUUUAUCGGGAGACUGGCUCAAGUUGCAAGGCCCCAAGUGUAACACAGAGUAGCUGUACGCAGCAAGAAGAAGAAGAAGGUUGAUACUCUGACAACGCUGUCACGUUAUCUAGCGGAAAAAGAGCAGGCACGUACCCCUUCCCCUCGGACUUCGCCACCUCUCCUCCGGGUGCAACGUACCUGUCCCCGACUGUUGAAGACAGCGAGGUUACCGGAGCCGCUAUCAACCACGAAGCUCGUGCUGUUGACCAG
This 392-nucleotide long non-coding RNA is filed under the name Musa acuminata (dwarf banana). Its description in RNAcentral is "long non-coding RNA (MACU_LNC007313)". The record is from RNAcentral. Lineage: Eukaryota; Viridiplantae; Streptophyta; Magnoliopsida; Zingiberales; Musaceae.